This 777-nucleotide ribosomal RNA is filed under the name uncultured bacterium. RNAcentral describes it as "bacterial SSU rRNA". It matches the Rfam family "Bacterial small subunit ribosomal RNA", at positions 8 to 796 of the family's 1533-position model. The record is from RNAcentral.
AGAGUUUGAUCAUGGCUCAGGACGAACGCUGGCGGCGUGCCUAAUACAUGCAAGUCGAACGAACAUAGCAAUAUGUUAGUGGCGAACGGGUGAGUAACACGUAAGUGACCUAGCUAUUAGACGAGGAUAACUACUGGAAACGGUAGAUAAGACUGGAUAGGAUAGAAAUAUUUAAAAGUCCUAAGGGACUGCUAAUAGAGGGGCUUGCGGCGCAUUAGCUAGUUGGUGGGGUAAGAGCCUACCAAGGCGACGAUGCGUAGCCGACCUGAGAGGGUGAACGGCCACACUGGGACUGAGACACGGCCCAGACUCCUACGGGAGGCAGCAGUAGGGAAUCUUCGGCAAUGGACGAAAGUCUGACCGAGCAACGCCGCGUGAGUGAAGAAGGUCUUCGGAUUGUAAAGCUCUGUUAUUAGGGAAGAAAGAAGCUAUUAGGGAAUGAGUAGCAAGUGACGGUACCUAAUGAGGAAGCCACGGCUAACUACGUGCCAGCAGCCGCGGUAAUACGUAGGUGGCAAGCGUUGUCCGGAAUUAUUGGGCGUAAAGAGUGCGUAGGCGGUCUAUUAAGUCAUAUUUGAAAGCCCAUGGCUUAACCAUGGAGGGUGAUAUGAAACUGAAAGACUUGAGUACAGGAGAGGAAGGUGGAAUUCCACGUGUAGCGGUGAAAUGCGUAGAUAUGUGGAGGAACACCAGUGGCGAAGGCGGCCUUCUGGCCUGUGUCUGACGCUGAGGCACGAAAGCGUGGGUAGCAAACAGGAUUAGAUACCCUAGUAGUCC